Molecule: long non-coding RNA, 667 nt
Organism: Scophthalmus maximus (turbot)
Lineage: Eukaryota; Metazoa; Chordata; Actinopteri; Pleuronectiformes; Scophthalmidae
Exons: 2
Source: RefSeq, a predicted model, not a curated record
GUCCAGGUGACGCCAGCUAUGCUGGGCGUGAUUGGACAACAUGGGACACAGAAAGAUAUACUUGGACUUAGAGGGAAGUAUGACGUUGUCCACGCUGUCAUCUGCACGUGCAGUGAUGGGAUGUCUAAAAACUGAGAAAACAGACACAAGAUGUAGUUAGAUUUAGCCUGCUGAUUUUGUUUUCUUUAUUCUACCAGGGAGGUAUCUGCUCCACUAAGUGCUGCUCUGCGUCCUCCUCCGGGACGCAAUGGACAAGUUGGGAACUAAGACGUGUUGGUUCACCUGAUGAUGUGGCAAGUCUUUAAGAAAUGAAUGCAGCGCCAUCUUGUUCUGGGUCUCAUCAUUCAACUGCGGUUAACCGGCUCCAGGGCGGACACUGCAGCUGCUGCUUGGAUCCAUCUGUGAUCUCAGCACUCCCUGCUUCCACCCCAUGACUCCAUAUGAGUAAUACAUGGAGAGCUGAGGUUUCUGGACUAUAUUAUGCCUUGGUUUAUUUACAGUCUGGACUUUACCAUCAUCUCCACACCACUGUAAUAGUGUCGUGGUCAUGUUUUGAACCGCCUUAAAUCUCUUUGUCUAGUUUCAAUACGAGUGGCCACCAAGGCCAAGAGUGCAAUGGCACAUCAUACAAAACACAAGUGAAAUAAAAACUGUUAAUUUCCCAUUU